Long non-coding RNA from Strigops habroptila (Kakapo), 1861 nucleotides. The record is from Ensembl. Lineage: Eukaryota; Metazoa; Chordata; Aves; Psittaciformes; Psittacidae.
AAAAAUAAAAGCAUUUAAUAUGGGGUUUUCACAUGAACACACAGAAAGGCAGCAGUCUGAAAUAGUACAUACAUAGCAUAUAUAAAUAAGGACAAAGAUUAAAAAUACUUUGGAAACGAUAGACUCUGGGAACAGUUAGUGGCUGCUCUGGGAGGAAGUAUCCUUGUGAGUGACUGCACAGGGCAGACAAACGAGACACAUUCAGGCAUGACUAAAACUCCGCUGUGCCUGUGAGACACUGUGAGCACAUUGGCACUGCAACAGCCAAGGGUCCUAGAGGCCAAAUCUGUUAGCCACCACCCCCCUCAGCACCAUGGGCUUAAGCCCAGGGCACCAAACCCCUCCUGGGACUGCCAAACCUCUCCUGGGACUGCUGUGUGGACACUGCAUGCACCCCUUUGGCAGGGGAGGCAUCUGAGACAUGCAGAACGCCAGGCUGAUGCCCCAUAGCUAAUUUUUCUUAGAGCAAAUUUCAGCUGAAGCCAGACGGAGUCCCUGAGCUAGAGCCAGUAUGGGGAUAGAAGAGUGAUGUUCCUCUCAUAGAUAUUGAGCAGUGUAUUUAGUCUUAACAGCAAGACUGCCUUGCAAGCAGACACCCAUACAGAGAUACGUGCUCAGGUAAGCUGGGCGCGAUGGAGAGAGGAGUAGGAUGAACAAAUGCUUCAUCCAGCAACCACCCCUGAUGCAAGUAAGAGCAGAGGUGGCAGGACCAGACCCAGCUCCCCCUGUGCUGCUGCUCAACCUUGGCUCUGUCUCAUCUUUGUUCAGAGGCAAAGCCAAGAUCCCCAGGUCUCCACCAAUAACGGACUGCAGGGGCAGGGUAGAAGUGCAAAAGUGCAGUCAGCAACACACAAUGGUGCCCUUUGAGGAGCACAUAGACAGCUUCAGCCUCCUGAGGGAACGAUUACAGACACAUCCAAAAAGCACAUACUACUACCACAGCAAAAAGCCUCUGCCCUUUCUCACAGCAUCCUUGCCUGCCCAGUCCCUGAAGAACCAGAGCUCACUCUUUGCUGCCACAGAGGCUCCUAACACCAGCAACUCCCAUCUCACACAUCUACAGUCCCACUACCCCCUACAUUUUCAAGGCAGCUCCUCCAUUUUGGGGUCAGGCUGGGGACAGGCACCCUUGAUAAAGUACCAGGAACAUCCCUUUGGACAGAGCAGCAUGAGGAAUAUGCUUUGUAUCUCAGAAAAACAAAAAUCACGGUAAAAGUGACAAAUUCCAGCUAAGCUGCACAGGGCUCUGAUGGCCUGUUUUGACAGCUCUAGCCUGUUGGACUGAACUCCCUGCUCACAUCCCAGUAUUCACACCUCCUGCCACCAGUUGUCUCUGAAAGCUGUCAAGGACAGAGCUCUAACUCCUGCCGGCUGCUGGUUCUUAAAGAUUAGAAGACAAUUAUAAUUGGAUUCCAGAGAUUAUUUGCUUCACCGACAAGGACUGAGAAGUGUUUAGAUGGUUCCCCAGCUGAUUAAAUCUUUAUUUCACAGUAGUGACCCUCUGUGUUUCCUACCCAAGAGUGCUUGCAGACAGGUACUUGGCAAGAUUGGCUUAUUGGAGCACUUUAGCUUAACAAGACCGCUGACGCUAGCCAGCUGUGCUGAGGGUUUAUCCUGUAUCUAGAUGGUUUCAUCUCAUCUUUGCAGCUCAGUCGAAAGAGCUCAAUCCAGACCCAGCCCUUUCCCCCAGCUUAAUAACUAAUCAACCAGUUGCCUGUCCAGCCAUCCAGAUAUCUUAAGCCAAAGCCUUUGGCACCAUUUGCAGCAGAUCACAAAUGGCUGGAGCCCUGUCCCGCCUCUCAUGCUGCUCAUGUUGUUCCUAUGCUGGACACAGCACAAGACUGCCUGCCUCAGACACCCC